RNAcentral lists this ribosomal RNA (755 nucleotides) under uncultured bacterium. RNAcentral's name for it is "bacterial SSU rRNA". It matches the Rfam family "Bacterial small subunit ribosomal RNA", at positions 28 to 776 of the family's 1533-position model. The record is from RNAcentral.
AUUGAACGCUGGCGGCAGGCUUAACACAUGCAAGUCGAGCGGAAACGAUGAUAGCUUGCUAUCAGGCGUCGAGCGGCGGACGGGUGAGUAAUACUUAGGAAUCUACCUAGUAGUGGGGGAUAGCACGGGGAAACUCGUAUUAAUACCGCAUACGACCUACGGGAGAAAGGGGGCAGUUUACUGCUCUCGCUAUUAGAUGAGCCUAAGUCGGAUUAGCUAGAUGGUGGGGUAAAGGCCUACCAUGGCGACGAUCUGUAGCUGGUCUGAGAGGAUGAUCAGCCACACCGGGACUGAGACACGGCCCGGACUCCUACGGGAGGCAGCAGUGGGGAAUAUUGGACAAUGGGGGAAACCCUGAUCCAGCCAUGCCGCGUGUGUGAAGAAGGCCUUUUGGUUGUAAAGCACUUUAAGCAGUGAAGAAGACUCCGUGGUUAAUACCCACGGACGAUGACAUUAGCUGCAGAAUAAGCACCGGCUAACUCUGUGCCAGCAGCCGCGGUAAUACAGAGGGUGCAAGCGUUAAUCGGAAUUACUGGGCGUAAAGGGAGCGUAGGUGGCUCUAUAAGUCAGAUGUGAAAUCCCCGGGCUCAACCUGGGAACUGCAUCUGAAACUGUAGAGCUAGAGUAUGUGAGAGGAAGGUAGAAUUCCAGGUGUAGCGGUGAAAUGCGUAGAGAUCUGGAGGAAUACCGAUGGCGAAGGCAGCCUUCUGGCAUAAUACUGACACUGAGGCUCGAAAGCGUGGGUAGCAAACAGG